RNAcentral lists this unclassified non-coding RNA (201 nucleotides) under Hevea brasiliensis (rubber tree). The record is from RNAcentral. Lineage: Eukaryota; Viridiplantae; Streptophyta; Magnoliopsida; Malpighiales; Euphorbiaceae.
GACAACCGAAUAGACACCCUUCGCUUAAGGAGUCUCUUCCUCUACUGCUAUUUCAUCGCUAAAUUUUUCUCUACAAAUUCUAUUUCUAGGGUUAGGGUUUUCAAAUUCUUAGCAAAUUCAUAGUACAAUCGCUACUGUUUUUUGUGCUUUACCUGGAACGCUACCCUCAUGGAAUCUUCUAUUGUGAUCAAGGUCAAGUAU